Molecule: non-coding RNA, 22 nt
Filed under: Arabidopsis thaliana (thale cress)
Lineage: Eukaryota; Viridiplantae; Streptophyta; Magnoliopsida; Brassicales; Brassicaceae
Source: RNAcentral
GUGGUCGCUGGAUCUGAUCGCA